UCCCUGGUGGUCCAAUGGUUAAGAGUCUGAGCUCCCAAUUCAGGGGGUCCAGGUUCGAAUCCUGAUCAGGGAA
Molecule: transfer RNA, 73 nt
Filed under: Bos taurus (domestic cattle)
Lineage: Eukaryota; Metazoa; Chordata; Mammalia; Artiodactyla; Bovidae
Also listed under: 5 other names
Rfam family: tRNA
About the family: Transfer RNA (tRNA) molecules are approximately 80 nucleotides in length. Their secondary structure includes four short double-helical elements and three loops (D, anti-codon, and T loops). Further hydrogen bonds mediate the characteristic L-shaped molecular structure. tRNAs have two regions of fundamental functional importance: the anti-codon, which is responsible for specific mRNA codon recognition, and the 3' end, to which the tRNAs corresponding amino acid is attached (by aminoacyl-tRNA synthetases). tRNAs cope with the degeneracy of the genetic code in two manners: having more than one tRNA (with a specific anti-codon) for a particular amino acid; and 'wobble' base-pairing, i.e. permitting non-standard base-pairing at the 3rd anti-codon position.
Source: Rfam by way of RNAcentral